Molecule: ribosomal RNA, 472 nt
Filed under: Stenotrophomonas sp.
Lineage: Bacteria; Pseudomonadati; Pseudomonadota; Gammaproteobacteria; Lysobacterales; Lysobacteraceae
Description: partial 16S rRNA
Source: RNAcentral
UUCGUGCCUCAGUGUCAGUGUUGGUCCAGGUAGCUGCCUUCGCCAUGGAUGUUCCUCCCGAUCUCUACGCAUUUCACUGCUACACCGGGAAUUCCGCUACCCUCUACCACACUCUAGUUGUCCAGUUUCCACUGCAGUUCCCAGGUUGAGCCCAGGGCUUUCACAACAGACUUAAACAACCACCUACGCACGCUUUACGCCCAGUAAUUCCGAGUAACGCUUGCACCCUUCGUAUUACCGCGGCUGCUGGCACGAAGUUAGCCGGUGCUUAUUCUUUGGGUACCGUCAUCCCAACCAGGUAUUAGCCGGCUGGAUUUCUUUCCCAACAAAAGGGCUUUACAACCCGAAGGCCUUCUUCACCCACGCGGUAUGGCUGGAUCAGGCUUGCGCCCAUUGUCCAAUAUUCCCCACUGCUGCCUCCCGUAGGAGUCUGGACCGUGUCUCAGUUCCAGUGUGGCUGAUCAUCCUCUCA